GGGCGUGUGGUCUAGUGGUAUGAUUUCUGUUUCGCAUGUUCCACCUGCGAUCCUUACAGAAGGUCCCGCGUUCAAUUCGCGGUACGUCCA
Cercophora samala is the source of this 90-nucleotide non-coding RNA. NCBI's taxonomy places the organism in Eukaryota, Fungi, Ascomycota, Sordariomycetes, Sordariales, Lasiosphaeriaceae. The record is from the annotation of a GenBank genome assembly.